RNAcentral lists this ribosomal RNA (1349 nucleotides) under metagenome. RNAcentral describes it as "bacterial LSU rRNA". It matches the Rfam family "Bacterial large subunit ribosomal RNA", at positions 1564 to 2925 of the family's 2925-position model. The record is from RNAcentral.
UGAGUACGAGCUGCUACGGCAGCGAAGUGGGUGAUGUCAAGCUUCCAAGAAAAGCCCUAUACCCGUUAAGGCAUGACGGCCUGUACCCGAAACCGACACAGGUGGGGUGGUAGAGAAUACCGAGGGGCGCGAGAUAACUCUCUCUAAGGAACUCGGCAAAAUGGCCCCGUAACUUCGGGAGAAGGGGUGCCACCGCAAGGUGGUCGCAGUGAAGAGGCCCAGGCGACUGUUUACCAAAAACACAGGUCUCCGCUAAGUCGCAAGACGAUGUAUGGGGGCUGACGCCUGCCCAGUGCCGGAAGGUUAAGGAAGCUGGUCAGCGCAAGCGAAGCUAGCGACUGAAGCCCCGGUGAACGGCGGCCGUAACUAUAACGGUCCUAAGGUAGCGAAAUUCCUUGUCGGGUAAGUUCCGACCCGCACGAAAGGCGUAACGAUCUGGGCGCUGUCUCGGAGAGAGGCUCGGCGAAAUAGAAUUGUCUGUGAAGAUGCGGACUACGUGCACCCGGACAGAAAGACCCUAUGAAGCUUUACUGUAGCUUGGUAUUGUGCCCGGGCUCUGAAUGCGCAGGAUAGGUGGGAGGCUUUGAUCCAUGGCUUGCGGGUCAUGGUGAGCCAACGGUGAGAUACCACUCUUUCAGAGCUAGGGUUCUAACAGCCACCCGUUAUCCGGGGGCUGGACAGUAUCAGGUGGGCAGUUUGACUGGGGCGGUCGCCUCCUAAAAGGUAACGGAGGCGCGCAAAGGUUUGCUCAGGCUGGUUGGAAAUCAGCCGACGAGUGCAAAAGCAGAAGCAAGCUUGACUGUGAGACCAACAAGUCGAACAGGGACGAAAGUCGGCUUUAGUGAUCCGACGGUUCUGAGUGGAAGGGCCGUCGCUCAACGGAUAAAAGUUACUCUAAGGAUAACAGGCUGAUCUCCCCCAAGAGUUCACAUCGACGGGGAGGUUUGGCACCUCGAUGUCGGCUCAUCGCAACCUGGGGCUGAAGUCGGUCCCAAGGGUUGGGCUGUUCGCCCAUUAAAGCGGUACGCGAGCUGGGUUCAGAACGUCGUGAGACAGUUCGGUCCAUAUCCGGUGCAUGCGUAAGAACAUUGAGAGGAGUUCUCCCUAGUACGAGAGGACCGGGAGGAACGCACCUCUGGUGUACCAGUUAUCGUGCCAACGGUAAACGCUGGGUAGCCAUGUGCGGAGAGGAUAACCGCUGAAAGCAUCUAAGUGGGAAGCCCACCUCAAGAUGAGUGUUCUCAUGGCUUAAGCCAGUAAGGUCACGGGAAGAACACCCGUUGAUAGGCUCUACGUGGAAGCGCAGCAAUGUGUGAAGCGGAGGAGUACUAAUAGACCGAGGGCUUGAC